ACAGCAAGGGUUAAGUAUCCAAAAUCAUGUUCAAACAAUUAGGAAACAAAACCAAUUGGAUUCACAUUCAUACCAAUCACUGUCAUCAUUUCAUGAACCAUUAGGUCAAAGUAACAAACAGAAACCCCAGAAGUCAACAGAAAGACUUGAUUCAAAACCAAUCUAAACAUUUUUCAAAAAUCACCAAAUAAAUCAUGAUCAAACCUAACACAUAGCAUGGUAAGCAUGUCAAAUUUCAUCCCAUUUGGACAAGUGGAAGGCAGUCAAUGAAAAUCAGAAAGACAAAGUCAAUUUGAACAUGCUCAAUGGAGUCAACCAAACAUGCAUCAACUUAGAAAAAUCAUAAGUCUAGAAUGGUGUAUGAUAAAUGAAUGGGAC
This 378-nucleotide long non-coding RNA is filed under the name Lathyrus oleraceus (garden pea). Its description in RNAcentral is "Pisum sativum (pea) long non-coding RNA (PSAT_LNC017674)". Lineage: Eukaryota; Viridiplantae; Streptophyta; Magnoliopsida; Fabales; Fabaceae. The record is from RNAcentral.